UCUGAAUGUGACACAGCAUCGGCAUGGACU
Molecule: non-coding RNA, 30 nt
Filed under: Mus musculus (house mouse)
Lineage: Eukaryota; Metazoa; Chordata; Mammalia; Rodentia; Muridae
Source: RNAcentral